CCACGAAAUUUAAUUCAGGAUAGUCGAAAAGUGGCGUGUCGGUCCGCAGCUUCUCGGUGAAUUUAAAGAUUGACUAAGCGUGUAGUGCCAAAGGUUAAGCUUUUCUGGACGGGGGUUCAACUCCCCCCAGCUCCACCA
RNAcentral lists this transfer-messenger RNA (138 nucleotides) under Gammaproteobacteria bacterium. Its description in RNAcentral is "partial transfer-messenger RNA". It matches the Rfam family "transfer-messenger RNA", at positions 230 to 374 of the family's 374-position model. From Rfam's summary of the family: Bacterial tmRNA, also known as 10Sa RNA or SsrA, is named for its dual tRNA and mRNA-like properties. Its role is to liberate the mRNA from a stalled ribosome. The record is from RNAcentral. Lineage: Bacteria; Pseudomonadati; Pseudomonadota; Gammaproteobacteria.